UACGUAGGGGUGCAAGCGUUAAUCGGAAUUACUGGGCGGUAAAGCGUGCGUUAGACGGUCAUGUAAAGUCGGGGUGUGAAAAGCCCCCGGGCUCAACCUGGGAAUUGCAUUCGAGACUGCAUGGCUAGGGUGCGGAAGAGGGAAGCGGAAUUUCCGGUGUAGCGGUGAAAAUGCGUAGAUAUCGGGAAAGGAACACCUGUGGC
This 203-nucleotide ribosomal RNA is filed under the name uncultured bacterium. RNAcentral's name for it is "partial 16S ribosomal RNA". It matches the Rfam family "Bacterial small subunit ribosomal RNA", at positions 524 to 716 of the family's 1533-position model. The record is from RNAcentral.